GCAAACGGGAUUAGAUACCCUGGUAGUCCACGCUGUAAACGAUGUCGAUUUGGAGGUUGUGCCCUUGAGGCGUGGCUUCCGGAGCUAACGCGUUAAAUCGGCCGCCUGGGGAGUACGGCCGCAAGGUUAAAACUCAAAUGAAUUGACGGGGGCCCGCACAAGCGGUGGAGCAUGUGGUUUAAUUCGAUGCAACGCGAAGAACCUUACCUACUCUUGACAUCCAGAGAACUUAGCAGAGAUGCUUUGGUGCCUUCGGGAACUCUGAGACAGGUGCUGCAUGGCUGUCGUCAGCUCGUGUUGUGAAAUGUUGGGUUAAGUCCCGCAACGAGCGCAACCCUUAUCCUUUGUUGCCAGCGGUUCGGCCGGGAACUCAAAGGAGACUGCCAGUGAUAAACUGGAGGAAGGUGGGGAUGACGUCAAGUCAUCAUGGCCCUUACGAGUAGGGCUACACACGUGCUACAAUGGCAUAUACAAAGAGAAGCGACCUCGCGAGAGCAAGCGGACCUCAUAAAGUAUGUCGUAGUCCGGAUUGGAGUCUGCAACUCGACUCCAUGAAGUCGGAAUCGCUAGUAAUCGUAGAUCAGAAUGCUACGGUGAAUACGUUCCCGGGCCUUGUACACACCGCCCGUCACACCAUGGGAGUGGGUUGCAAAAGAAGUAGGUAGCUUAACCUUCGGGAGGGCGCUUACCACUUUGUGAUUCAUGACUGGG
RNAcentral lists this ribosomal RNA (711 nucleotides) under uncultured Serratia sp. Its description in RNAcentral is "bacterial SSU rRNA". It matches the Rfam family "Bacterial small subunit ribosomal RNA", at positions 768 to 1479 of the family's 1533-position model. The record is from RNAcentral. Lineage: Bacteria; Pseudomonadati; Pseudomonadota; Gammaproteobacteria; Enterobacterales; Yersiniaceae.